UUCGCUCGGGCAGUUUGGGCCAUAGUUCAAGUAGCUUCUAAUUUAUACCCACCACGUAGUGCACGGAAUAUGUUCGACAACUGGUUGCGGGGUAUUGAUAAAUAAUUUUCUGCAUAUAUUCUUGUGGGAGCGGCGGCCUUCUACUGGGCACUAUGGCUUACCAGGAAUGAUGUGAUCUUUAAUAACAAAUGUGUCUCAUCUCCUAUGGAGGUUAUUCAUGUCUGUACACGAUGGCUCCGUACUUGGUCUAUCCUACAGAGGCUGGAGGACAUGGACCUUUUUAUGGUGGCGUCUACACGGCUGGAGCGUUCGGCCAGGGAGGUUUUCUACCCCCAUGAAUGA
RNAcentral lists this ribosomal RNA (342 nucleotides) under Triticum aestivum (bread wheat). Its description in RNAcentral is "partial small subunit ribosomal RNA". Lineage: Eukaryota; Viridiplantae; Streptophyta; Magnoliopsida; Poales; Poaceae. The record is from RNAcentral.